RNA transcript from Ctenopharyngodon idella (grass carp), 1628 nucleotides. It is a transcript of the gene named guanylate-binding protein 2-like, with no coding region annotated. The transcript has 9 exons. NCBI's taxonomy places the organism in Eukaryota, Metazoa, Chordata, Actinopteri, Cypriniformes, Xenocyprididae. The record is from RefSeq and is a predicted model, not a curated record.
CAACGCUAGUUCGGUUGGGUUAGGUUACUGAAUAAGGUUUCCCAGAAAUCGCCCGUUUAACGUCAACUAAGUUAUAAUAGAUUUGAGAGGAUACUGAGAAACAACCCUGCCGCUGUGGUAAAUAAGACCUGCGGUUCGUUCAGUGCGCAGUGAGAAGUAACGCGGAGGGAAAGAGAGAGCAUCGGUAACUUUCAUCUCAUCACACAGGACACGUUAUACAUUUAGGCUAUCAAACAGGAAUAGCUAGAGAGAGCCAGCAUGUCUAAUUCCAGACUAACGCCUUCACCCAUUUGUUUGGUGGAGAAUGUGAACGGAUCGCUCUGCGUCUGUAAGGAUGCCACUGAGUUCCUGAGUAGGAUCAAGGAGCCGGUGGUUGUAGUGUCUGUGGUGGGACUCUACCGUACAGGGAAGUCCUACCUUAUGAACCGCCUGGCAGGACAACAGUCAGGCUUUGCUCUCGGUAACACUAUUGAGUCGAAAACCAAAGGCAUCUGGAUGUGGUGUGUCCCUCACCCCAAAAAAGCAGGACACACUCUGGUGCUGCUGGACACAGAGGGACUGGGUGAUGUGGACAAGGGAGACUCUAAGAAUGACAGCUGGAUCUUCUGUCUGGCUGUUCUGCUCAGCAGCACUCUGGUGUACAACAGCCGCGGCACCAUCGAUAACAAUGCAGUGGAAAAUCUGCACUAUGUUACUGAGCUCGCUGAGCAUAUCAAGAUCAGAUCGGCAGAAGCAGCAGAAGAGGAAGAGGAGGAUUCAAAAUACGUGAUUUUCUUCCCAUCAUUCAUCUGGGUCGUUAGAGAUUUCACCUUGGAACUGGUAAUUGAUGGAAAGAAAGUGACUGAGGACGAGUACCUUGAGUUUGCCCUCCAGCUGAAGAAAGGUGUAAAUAAGAAAGCCAGCGACUACAACCUGCCCCGUCAAUGCAUCCGAACCUAUUUCCCAUCCCGGAACUGUUUUGUGUUCCCAUCUCCAGCCGCACCUGAAAACAUGACACACUUAGAAAGUUUACAAGAACAGGACCUUGUACCAGAUUUUCUGGAUGUCACAGGUCGUUUUUGUGACCACAUCUAUCACAAGAGUUUAGUGAAAACACUGAAAGGAGGACACAAAGUUACUGGCAAAUUGUGUGUUGUCAGUGCUCGGGAAUCUGGUGCAGAUUUAUGUGGAUACAAUCAACAGUGGGAAGGUGCCCUGUCUGGACAAUGCAGUGGUUACUCUCGCAAAUCUGGAGAACCAGGCAGCUGUUCAAGAAGCUUUGAAAGUGUAUCAGAGUGGGAUGGAAGAGGUGAAGAACAAGUUCCCAGUAAGUGUGGAUGAUAUUUCCUCAGAGCACCAGAAGUUCAGCAGACUGGCCACCGCCGAGUUCAUGAAACGCUCCUUUAAAGAUGAAAAAGGAGAAUACCUAAUAAAACUGAUGGAAAACAUAGAUAUAUGCUAUGUAGACCUGCUUAAAGAGAAUGAGAUGGCAUCAGAGAGAAAGUGCAGAGAUCUGCUGAAGAAUUUAUUCUCUGACAUGGAUAAAUGGCUGCAGAAUGGAGAGUACAGUCAGUCUGGAGGAUAUGAACUCUACUGCAGAGACAGAGACGCCAUCGUUGAGCAGUACCGCAGAGAACCCAACAAAGGUG